Molecule: ribosomal RNA, 408 nt
Filed under: uncultured soil bacterium
Lineage: Bacteria
Description: bacterial SSU rRNA
Rfam family: Bacterial small subunit ribosomal RNA
Source: RNAcentral
AGAACGAACGCUGGCGGCGCGCCUAAUACAUGCAAGUCGAGCGAGAAGACGUAGCAAUACGUUUGUAAAGCGGCGAACGGGUGAGGAAUACAUGGGUAACCUACCCUAGAGUGGGGAAUAACUAGCCGAAAGGUUAGCUAAUACCGCGUACGCUCCUUGGACUUCGGUACAGGGAGGAAAGCGAUACCGUGGGUAUCGCGCUCUUGGAUGGGCUCAUGUCCUAUCAGCUUGUUGGUGAGGUAACGGCUCACCAAGGCUUCGACGGGUAGCUGGUCUGAGAGGACGAUCGAGCCACACUGGCACUGCGACGACGGGCCAGACCUCCGUACGGGACGGCAGCAGUAAAGGAUAGUAGCGACAAGUGGGACGAAAGCCAGGACGCGACGCGGACCGCCGGCGGUAGGGGGG